Molecule: ribosomal RNA, 683 nt
Filed under: bacterium enrichment culture clone ADE_2
Lineage: Bacteria
Description: bacterial SSU rRNA
Rfam family: Bacterial small subunit ribosomal RNA
Source: RNAcentral
UAGAGUUUGAUCCUGGCUCAGAUUGAACGCUGGCGGCAUGCUUUACACAUGCAAGUCGAACGGCAGCGCGGGGCAACCUGGCGGCGAGUGGCGAACGGGUGAGUAAUAUAUCGGAACGUACCCAGAAGUGGGGGAUAACGUAGCGAAAGUUACGCUAAUACCGCAUACGAUCUACGGAUGAAAGUGGGGGACCUUCGGGCCUCAUGCUUUUGGAGCGGCCGAUAUCUGAUUAGCUAGUUGGUGAGGUAAAGGCUCACCAAGGCGACGAUCAGUAGCUGGUCUGAGAGGACGACCAGCCACACUGGGACUGAGACACGGCCCAGACUCCUACGGGAGGCAGCAGUGGGGAAUUUUGGACAAUGGGCGCAAGCCUGAUCCAGCAAUGCCGCGUGAGUGAAGAAGGCCUUCGGGUUGUAAAGCUCUUUUGUCAGGGAAGAAACGGCUCAGGCUAAUAUCCUGGGCUAAUGACGGUACCUGAAGAAUAAGCACCGGCUAACUACGUGCCAGCAGCCGCGGUAAUACGUAGGGUGCAAGCGUUAAUCGGAAUUACUGGGCGUAAAGCGUGCGCAGGCGGUUUUGUAAGUCUGUCGUGAAAGCCCCGGGCUUAACCUGGGAAUUGCGAUGGAGACUGCAAGGCUUGAAUCUGGCAGAGGGGGGUAGAAUUCCACGUGUAGCAGUGAAAU